GCGGGCGGCGGUAGAGACGGACGACCCAAGUCCGGCGGCGGUGAUCGAGAUGGACUCGUGUUGUGCUGGCCGACGUCAUGUGGAGGGCUUGCACGUGAUCUGCUCUUUUUCACUUCCUUCUGCAAUGUGCGUGUAUAGUCAUCAGGCUUAUGGUGUAAGUCAUACUGUGAUGGAAGGGGGUACGAUCAUAAGGUCCGGUAGGAAGAUUAGCAUGACGUACCUUUGGGAGGGGCGACCGUUUGCGCUUUGGGGUGCUCUGUGGCUUAGGAAUCGUCGGCGGAGCGUUCUUGGUGGCACGCUCCCGCUUUGUAUCCGUGACAGGCUCAGGCUUU
Molecule: long non-coding RNA, 332 nt
Filed under: Hordeum vulgare
Lineage: Eukaryota; Viridiplantae; Streptophyta; Magnoliopsida; Poales; Poaceae
Description: long non-coding RNA (HVUL_LNC008372)
Source: RNAcentral